UUACGGCGAUAUCACGUUGAAACACCGACCAUCGAAGUUAAGCAAUGCCGAGCCUGGUCAGUACUUCGAUGGGUGACUUCUUGGGAAAACCAGGUACUGUAC
This is a non-coding RNA of Acanthosepion pharaonis, 102 nucleotides long. The record is from the annotation of a GenBank genome assembly. Lineage: Eukaryota; Metazoa; Mollusca; Cephalopoda; Sepiida; Sepiidae.